Molecule: unclassified non-coding RNA, 208 nt
Filed under: Ascomycota sp.
Lineage: Eukaryota; Fungi; Ascomycota
Description: partial contains small subunit ribosomal RNA, internal transcribed spacer 1, and 5.8S ribosomal RNA
Rfam family: Eukaryotic small subunit ribosomal RNA (bases 1-47)
Source: RNAcentral
AAAGUCGUAACAAGGUCUCCGUAGGUGAACCUGCGGAGGGAUCAUUACUGAAUGGCCUUUUUGCGCCGAUACCCUUCAAUCCCGUGGAAGCAAGAUGUGCUUCGGUGGCCCGUUAUGGGGGCUUGCCGCUUUUAUGCUGUCUGAUGUAUGUGUCUGAAAGGAAAGGGAGUGAAUGAUAAAACUUUCAACAAAGGAUCUCUUGGCUCUC